Molecule: long non-coding RNA, 1876 nt
Filed under: Homo sapiens (human)
Lineage: Eukaryota; Metazoa; Chordata; Mammalia; Primates; Hominidae
Description: HSALNT0405089
Source: RNAcentral
GUGCCUGUGUCUUCUCCCUGUGACCUCAGUCCUCCCACUUUACUGGGCUCCUCGGGAGUGAAUCUGUCCGUGGCGCUCUCACUGUUUAUUGUAGAGGACUCAGGUGGUGACUACACAAUGUCCUCAUAGGUCACAAUCAAACCCAGAGCAGGGACCGACUUUCAUGGACUCACGUUCCCAUUUGUGGGGACACCGGGUCCUCUCAUGUGGCUCCUCCCUGGUGGCCAGGGCUCUCCUUCCUCUGUGGAUCCUGCAGCGCUGAAUAGAAGGGAAGCUCUUCCCUCUAGGAGGCCCAGGGCACAUUCCCAGAGGGUUAUUCUGGUCAAUCUUCAUUCUCUACUUCCCCUGAAUUGCAGUCAUAGUCAUCUGGAUCUUGUGACCGGGCUGAGCUGUGUCUCACAUACAGGACAAGGCUGCUCAUGGCCCUCUCCCUGCCCAGGAAUGCUCUUCCUGGUGGAUGCCCCAUCAGCUCUUAGGGUGAGGGCAGAGCGAGGAGCAGGUCCACAGCUACCUCUCCCAGUUCAGCCCCAUCCUGGGUCCAGUAUAAUGUGUCCCAUGUGAUAAGAGGUAGGUCUCUGUCAAGUAGUUGCUGAGCACGUAUCUUUUGCUGGGCAUAGAGCUCAGCUCUGGAAAUGCCAUAAUCCCUACCUAAUGCCAUAAUCCCUACCUAGACAGCCUAAUCCCUACCUUUUGCAGCUAACCCUGAUGAAAACACAGGCAUAGGAAGGGCACAGGAGUCCACUCUUCCACCCCCUUAAUCCCUGGGGCAGAGACCAGAGAAGUCCCUGCUGCACUCCAGGGUCUGAGAAGAGACUUCGACUUGGUGGCAUCACAGGGGAAGAAGGAAGAAGGGACUACAGGAGAACCAAGGGCAUAUGGGCAUGACCUGAAGAUUCCUGGUGUUCAGGUGAAGAUGUAAGGAAGUCCACGAAGUAGAUACAGAUGAAUAAGAUUAGAUAAAUUACAGGAUCUAGGAGAAGUGGACUGCCGGGAAGGAGAGAUUGGAUUGAGAAAGACACCCUGGCAGGGCAAGUCCUCAGAAAUCCAAGAAGAUGUACUUUUGUUCCCCAAGUCCAGGAGCUUGUUGACUGGUUGGGCCUGAUCUGCUGGGGCUACUGGAGAGGAAGGCAGGGAGGAGCCACGUGUCAGCAGGAGAGAUACAGGGUUGGCAUCAUUAGCUCCUGAGUGGAAAAUGGACCAUGACAAGGAAUGAGAGCAGAAGAACUUGCAGUCAUAGUCAUCGGGAUCCUGUGACCAGGGAUCUCACCUAGGAGUCUGUUCUCCAUCACUGAAUGCCAAUCUGCGGGGGAUCCUGGCAAAUGACUUUGCAGUGUUUUGCUAAAGAGCAAAACAAGCAAAUAUGCUCAGUAUUUGAAGAUGGAAGAGUUAAAACUUCAGCUUGUUUUGACCAGAGUCUGUACUUAAGUGAGCCUGACACGUGGUAGCUUUUAGGAUCAACCAUUCCAACUAGGAUGUUUAGGAAAGAAUACUGUUCAAAAUCGCUAAUGAGUGUUUUGGGCAUGUCUGAAAGAUGAUAGAAAUUAUUCAUCUUUGAUGUGUAAUGAAAUCUAGAAUAUGAUACAUUAAAAACAGUAAACUGAAGAAAAAAGAUAAUCCUAUUUAUUAAAAUGAAACAGAUUGUAUAUAUGACUGCAAGAGUUCUGGCAUGAUACACCUGGGAUUCAACAAAUAUUUUUUGGGGCAAUCCCAUGUGGUUGGAGAACAGCAGGAUAGUUAUUUACUCUGGUGAGUCUGUCACCAGGCAGUUGUAGUACCAUGAGGUUUUACAUGCACCAUUUAAACAAUGUACUAGGUCGAGCACUGUGGCUCACGCCUGUCAUCCCAGCACUUUGGGAGGCUGAGGUGAGUGGAUCAC